GAUGAACGCUAGCGGCAGGCUUAAUACAUGCAAGUCGAGGGGCAGCAUGAAGUAGCAAUACUUUGAUGGCGACCGGCAAACGGGUGCGGAACACGUACACAACCUUCCUUUAAGUGGGGAAUAGCCCAGAGAAAUUUGGUUUAAUACCCCGUAACACAACGAAGUGGCAUCACUUUGUUGUUAUAGUUUCGGCGCUUAAUGAUGGGUGUGCGUAUGAUUAGAUAGUUGGCGAGGUAACGGCUCACCAAGUCUACGAUCAUUAGCUGAUGUGAGAGCAUGAUCAGCCAGACGGGCACUGGGACACGGGCCCGACUCCUACGGCAGGCAGCAGUAAGGAAGAGUGGUCAGUGGACGCAAGUCUGAACCAGCCAUGCCGCGUGAAGGAUUACGGUCCUCUGGAUUAUAAACUUCUUUUAUAUAGGACGAAAAAAGGUCUUUCUAGCCCCCUUGACGGUACCAUAUGAAUAAGCACCGGCUAACUCCGUG
This 486-nucleotide ribosomal RNA is filed under the name uncultured bacterium. RNAcentral's name for it is "partial 16S ribosomal RNA". It matches the Rfam family "Bacterial small subunit ribosomal RNA", at positions 28 to 507 of the family's 1533-position model. The record is from RNAcentral.